CCUACGGGUGGCAGCAGUGAGGAAUAUUGGUCAAUGGGCGCGAGCCUGAACCAGCCAAGUCGCGUGAGGGAAGACGGCCCUACGGGUUGUAAACCUCUUUUGCCGGGGAGCAACGGGCGCCACGUGUGGCGCCACUGAGAGUACCCGGAGAAAAAGCAUCGGCUAACUCCGUGCCAGCGGCCGCGUGAAUAGGGGGGAGGCGAGGGUUAUCCGGAUUUAUUGGGUUUAAAGGGUGCGUGGGCGGCGCGUAAAGUCAGUGGUCAAAUUGAGGGGCUCAACCCCUUCCCGCCAUUGAAACUGGCGCUCUUGAGUGGAAGAGAGGUAUGCGGAAUGCGUGGUGUAGCGGUGAAAUGCAUAGAUAUCACGCAGAACCCCGAUUGCGAAGGCAGCAUGCCGGCUUCCUACUGACGCUGAAGCACGAAAGCGUGGGGAUCGAACAGGAUUAGAUACCCGUGUAGUC
This 460-nucleotide ribosomal RNA is filed under the name uncultured bacterium. Its description in RNAcentral is "partial 16S ribosomal RNA". It matches the Rfam family "Bacterial small subunit ribosomal RNA", at positions 338 to 795 of the family's 1533-position model. The record is from RNAcentral.